Molecule: long non-coding RNA, 304 nt
Organism: Papaver somniferum (opium poppy)
Lineage: Eukaryota; Viridiplantae; Streptophyta; Magnoliopsida; Ranunculales; Papaveraceae
Exons: 4
Source: RefSeq, a predicted model, not a curated record
UCAAAGAAUGUAUCUUGGCCUGACCUGAUACAUAGUUUCUUAGAGAAGAAAAUCAAUCAGAACUACAACACUCCCGAGGACAUCACUGGUUGUGUCGUCUAUUUGUUGUUGUUGUAUGCGGAGCAUACUCACUUGGUGAAACCAGUGACGUUACCAGAUGAUCGAUACCUUCCAAGAGCGGCAAGGUGGAACAUCAAAGAAAUAUCUGUUGAGUUUCUAAAGGAUAUGGAGGCUUCCCAAUACACACAUUCUCUAAAGAAUUUAAGGAUGAAUAUACUAUGUAUGAAAAAGAAAUGUUGAAUGA